Mauremys reevesii (Reeves's turtle) is the source of this 484-nucleotide long non-coding RNA. RefSeq lists it as uncharacterized. The record is from RefSeq and is a predicted model, not a curated record. The transcript is spliced from 3 exons. NCBI's taxonomy places the organism in Eukaryota, Metazoa, Chordata, Testudines, Geoemydidae.
GGAGCUAUAUGGAGGAGGUGUGCUGCUGGAGGAAUGAAGCAGUACAAAUCUAUAUCAGGUGCAAGGAAAGAGGUCCUGAGGACAAAAUAAUGAAACGAGUUGUCUAAUUCUAGCACUGCAAGCGUAACUUUGGAUCUGAAAAUCAAGAUGAGUUCAUCUUCAUCAGUUCCCUUCAAGAACAGGACCCCGGCCUUCCACAAUGCCCGAGAUCGAAAGGUGGAGAAAUAUACCCUUCUGGCCAAAACCUUGAGAGCUAAGAGUUACCAGGUUCAGAUACACGCCCUGAUCGUUGGAGCCCUGGGUGCAUGGGACCCCAGUAACGAGUGAGUGCUGAGAGAAUGCAGAAUUGGUCAGCGCUACACUCGGCUGAUGCAGCAACUCAUGUUGUCAGAUGCCAUCAGGUGGUCAAGGGACAUCUACAUAGACCACAUCACCGGACAUCGGCAAUACCAGGAGGGAUGAGCUGAAGUUGGGAAAGUAACUG